UCGCUCCAAAAUCGAAAUUCCCCCCCAAAUUUCCGCCCAAAAUCGAAAUAAGAAGCUCUCCCCCCGUAAUUCUCUUUCUAACUCCUUCCCUCCCUCCCCCUCUCUCUCUCUGCGCCGCUGGCAAUCGAUCCCCAACGACGCUGGCGAUGGUGACGCCUCCGUCGUCGAAUCCUUCGAGCGCGUCCUCAGCAACUCCCUCCGCAAGAUUCCGUCGCAAUCUCCGCCUCCCGAUGAGAUUCCGACGUCGACCUCGUUGAUCAAGGUCAUUCGUCGGGCUCAGUCGUGAACCGAGUGGGGAAGCGAGUGUAUCAGAGGAAAGGGGUGAUCACUAACAUCAAGUCCUUCGGUACCGUCGAGCUCGGAUACGGAAUCAAGAAGCGCGAUGGCAGGCAUUUCCAGGAGGAAUGACAGAGGAGAAAAAAGUAGUAAGAAGGAGAGCCCUUGCAAAGUGGCUAAAGGAGAGUAUUUUGAGAUUAGGCCCAACAUUUAUCAAAAUAGGGCAACAGUUUUCUACAAGGGUGGAUAUUCUUGCUCAAGAAUAUGUUGAUCAGCUGUCCGAACUUCAGGUCAAAAUACUUGUCGACCAUAUGAUUCAUGCACCCAUUACACCACUGUAUUGCUCUGUACCAGCCUACUUGCACAAUUUAUUACACACCAACAUUCCUGGCUAUUAUGAG
Long non-coding RNA from Asparagus officinalis (garden asparagus), 677 nucleotides. RefSeq lists it as uncharacterized. The transcript has 3 exons. NCBI's taxonomy places the organism in Eukaryota, Viridiplantae, Streptophyta, Magnoliopsida, Asparagales, Asparagaceae. The record is from RefSeq and is a predicted model, not a curated record.